GCCGAGAUGCUGGGAUGAAUCCUUUGCGGUUGGAAGCUGAGGAUUGGUUGCGGAUGAUUGGAGGUGGCUCUGUUCCGAAGCAGGGGAGGAUGCGGUUGAAGCUUGGUGGACACGGCUGAUGGCUGAUUCAUGGGAAUGGGACUCAUGGCUAUGUGGAGAUGCCGGAAGAAUCGGGAUGCUGAUCCGUAUGGCCACACGAUGAGAAUGGAUUGCGGGAUACUCGGAUGCGGGAGGAGAUCUUGGGACUCAUCGCGGAAGAAGAAGAGGAUCCAGGACAAUGGAGAUAAUCUGGAAAGAUGUUGGAUUCGGCUCUAUCUUGGGAUGAAGAUGAACCUAUUGGAUGCAGGGGAUGAGAGCUGGAUCACAAACGAAAUGUAAGCUAGAUUCAUGCGGAUGCUGGGAAGAAAUCUGGGAGUUCGGAAGGCUCAUCCUUGCUGGGAUCUAGCGGAAGAAGUUGGGGAGAUGCAGAUGAGAUGAUGAGAGAUCCGGGUGAUUACAGGACGAGGAUGGAUCA
Molecule: long non-coding RNA, 514 nt
Filed under: Phoenix dactylifera (date palm)
Lineage: Eukaryota; Viridiplantae; Streptophyta; Magnoliopsida; Arecales; Arecaceae
Description: long non-coding RNA (PDAC_LNC022805)
Source: RNAcentral